Armigeres subalbatus is the source of this 758-nucleotide long non-coding RNA. RefSeq lists it as uncharacterized. The transcript has 3 exons. The record is from RefSeq and is a predicted model, not a curated record. NCBI's taxonomy places the organism in Eukaryota, Metazoa, Arthropoda, Insecta, Diptera, Culicidae.
AUAGUAUAAAAUAGAAUGUUUCUCUUAACCCGGAGAUUGGCAAGCCAGUAGAUCGGCUAGUGCAAUAUUAGCAUUCACGACCUCAUCUAUAGUAAAUAAACUACAAUUCGGAGCUCCAUCCUAUUUGGAGGUCCGAUCGAGGGUGAGAUUCAGCGGCGAGUUCAGCAGCCAUUGCACGCACCUUGUCAACAAAAACAACAGGUCACUCAUUAUAGUGUUUGUCUCUGCGAAUUCCACAAUCAGGAGGGGAAAAUACAGCGUCCCGCAGGAUCUCCAUUCCAAAGUUUGCAUCAUUCGGCUGGGGCCGAAAUUAAACAAACACCGUUCCUUCCGGCCAGUACCGAAGUUGUAAGCAAAGCAGAAGAUGGAUCGAAACGAUAGCUUGGCGUUAUUUCACGGACCAAUAGUGGAGAUAAAGACGUUUAUCGGUACGAAUGCAAGCGGGACUAUGUUAAUCUGGAAUUAUGUAUAACAAAGCCCGAGACCUCGCUCGAGACGAAGCUGUUACCAGCAAAGAGCAACUGUGAGACUGUGUACGAUGCUAGAACUUGCACCUUGGUAUCUGGACCCACGGACCCACACUCUUAUAUUUCUCCCUUAUUAUACAACAUUAGUUGCUAUGUGCAUACAUUGUACCAAUUGUAUAUUAACUUCGAGUUAUAUUUUUUUAUUUGAAUAAAUUCUGAUGAUCAUGUGUUGAAAAAAAAAAUUUAAUUUAAAAAAAAAUAUGUAUAUAUUUAUUUUCCCAAACAAACAAA